CUCAGAAGCUGGUGAGCCACUCCACUCACCACUGGAACAGUAACUGGGGACAGUCCCCAGAAAGCCACAGGAAGACUUCUGCUGAUCUUGUGGGCAGCCUGGGGAAGCCUCAGCUCUCACUCUGAAGAUUUUGAGAGAAAAAGACCAAAGACCAAAGAGGCCAAAGACCUCAAGCAGGGCCUGUAGGACCCAAAGUAUUGGCAGGUGCCAGAGCCACUCCUCCCCACAUCCAGAAUGGAGCUGGUAUCUCCCUUACAAGAUUAAAGGAAAUAAUGUGUGUCCCACGCUCAGCCCUGCACCUGCCACAGUAAGCACC
Long non-coding RNA from Pongo pygmaeus (Bornean orangutan), 316 nucleotides. RefSeq lists it as uncharacterized. The record is from RefSeq and is a predicted model, not a curated record. Lineage: Eukaryota; Metazoa; Chordata; Mammalia; Primates; Hominidae. The transcript is spliced from 3 exons.